Molecule: ribosomal RNA, 1522 nt
Filed under: Escherichia coli
Lineage: Bacteria; Pseudomonadati; Pseudomonadota; Gammaproteobacteria; Enterobacterales; Enterobacteriaceae
Description: partial 23S ribosomal RNA
Rfam family: Bacterial large subunit ribosomal RNA
Source: RNAcentral
CGAAUGCUGACAUAAGUAACGAUAAAGCGGGUGAAAAGCCCGCUCGCCGGAAGACCAAGGGUUCCUGUCCAACGUUAAUCGGGGCAGGGUGAGUCGACCCCUAAGGCGAGGCCGAAAGGCGUAGUCGAUGGGAAACAGGUUAAUAUUCCUGUACUUGGUGUUACUGCGAAGGGGGGACGGAGAAGGCUAUGUUGGCCGGGCGACGGUUGUCCCGGUUUAAGCGUGUAGGCUGGUUUUCCAGGCAAAUCCGGAAAAUCAAGGCUGAGGCGUGAUGACGAGGCACUACGGUGCUGAAGCAACAAAUGCCCUGCUUCCAGGAAAAGCCUCUAAGCAUCAGGUAACAUCAAAUCGUACCCCAAACCGACACAGGUGGUCAGGUAGAGAAUACCAAGGCGCUUGAGAGAACUCGGGUGAAGGAACUAGGCAAAAUGGUGCCGUAACUUCGGGAGAAGGCACGCUGAUAUGUAGGUGAAGUCCCUCGCGGAUGGAGCUGAAAUCAGUCGAAGAUACCAGCUGGCUGCAACUGUUUAUUAAAAACACAGCACUGUGCAAACACGAAAGUGGACGUAUACGGUGUGACGCCUGCCCGGUGCCGGAAGGUUAAUUGAUGGGGUUAGCGCAAGCGAAGCUCUUGAUCGAAGCCCCGGUAAACGGCGGCCGUAACUAUAACGGUCCUAAGGUAGCGAAAUUCCUUGUCGGGUAAGUUCCGACCUGCACGAAUGGCGUAAUGAUGGCCAGGCUGUCUCCACCCGAGACUCAGUGAAAUUGAACUCGCUGUGAAGAUGCAGUGUACCCGCGGCAAGACGGAAAGACCCCGUGAACCUUUACUAUAGCUUGACACUGAACAUUGAGCCUUGAUGUGUAGGAUAGGUGGGAGGCUUGGAAGUGUGGACGCCAGUCUGCAUGGAGCCGACCUUGAAAUACCACCCUUUAAUGUUUGAUGUUCUAACGUUGACCCGUAAUCCGGGUUGCGGACAGUGUCUGGUGGGUAGUUUGACUGGGGCGGUCUCCUCCUAAAGAGUAACGGAGGAGCACGAAGGUUGGCUAAUCCUGGUCGGACAUCAGGAGGUUAGUGCAAUGGCAUAAGCCAGCUUGACUGCGAGCGUGACGGCGCGAGCAGGUGCGAAAGCAGGUCAUAGUGAUCCGGUGGUUCUGAAUGGAAGGGCCAUCGCUCAACGGAUAAAAGGUACUCCGGGGAUAACAGGCUGAUACCGCCCAAGAGUUCAUAUCGACGGCGGUGUUUGGCACCUCGAUGUCGGCUCAUCACAUCCUGGGGCUGAAGUAGGUCCCAAGGGUAUGGCUGUUCGCCAUUUAAAGUGGUACGCGAGCUGGGUUUAGAACGUCGUGAGACAGUUCGGUCCCUAUCUGCCGUGGGCGCUGGAGAACUGAGGGGGGCUGCUCCUAGUACGAGAGGACCGGAGUGGACGCAUCACUGGUGUUCGGGUUGUCAUGCCAAUGGCACUGCCCGGUAGCUAAAUGCGGAAGAGAUAAGUGCUGAAAGCAUCUAAGCACGAAACUUGCC